Molecule: ribosomal RNA, 2905 nt
Filed under: Yersinia enterocolitica
Lineage: Bacteria; Pseudomonadati; Pseudomonadota; Gammaproteobacteria; Enterobacterales; Yersiniaceae
Description: 23S ribosomal RNA
Rfam family: Bacterial large subunit ribosomal RNA
Source: RNAcentral
UUAAGCGACUAAGCGUACACGGUGGAUGCCUAGGCAGUCAGAGGCGAUGAAGGGCGUGCUAAUCUGCGAAAAGCGUCGGUAAGGUGAUAUGAACCGUUACAACCGACGAUACCCGAAUGGGGAAACCCAGUGCAAUUCGUUGCACUAUUGCAUGGUGAAUACAUAGCCAUGCAAGGCGAACCGGGGGAACUGAAACAUCUAAGUACCCCGAGGAAAAGAAAUCAACCGAGAUUCCCCCAGUAGCGGCGAGCGAACGGGGAGGAGCCCAGAACCUGAAUCAGCGUAUGUGUUAGUGGAAGCGUCUGGAAAGUCGCACGGUACAGGGUGAUAGUCCCGUACACAAAAAUGCAUAUGUUGUGAGUUCGAUGAGUAGGGCGGGACACGUGACAUCCUGUCUGAAUAUGGGGGGACCAUCCUCCAAGGCUAAAUACUCCUGACUGACCGAUAGUGAACCAGUACCGUGAGGGAAAGGCGAAAAGAACCCCGGCGAGGGGAGUGAAAUAGAACCUGAAACCGUGUACGUACAAGCAGUGGGAGCACCUUCGUGGUGUGACUGCGUACCUUUUGUAUAAUGGGUCAGCGACUUAUAUUUUGUAGCAAGGUUAACCGAAUAGGGGAGCCGUAGGGAAACCGAGUCUUAACUGGGCGAAUAGUUGCAAGGUAUAGACCCGAAACCCGGUGAUCUAGCCAUGGGCAGGUUGAAGGUUGGGUAACACUAACUGGAGGACCGAACCGACUAAUGUUGAAAAAUUAGCGGAUGACUUGUGGCUGGGGGUGAAAGGCCAAUCAAACCGGGAGAUAGCUGGUUCUCCCCGAAAGCUAUUUAGGUAGCGCCUCGUGAACUCAUCUUCGGGGGUAGAGCACUGUUUCGGCUAGGGGGUCAUCCCGACUUACCAAACCGAUGCAAACUCCGAAUACCGAAGAAUGUUAUCACGGGAGACACACGGCGGGUGCUAACGUCCGUCGUGAAGAGGGAAACAACCCAGACCGCCAGCUAAGGUCCCAAAGUCAUGGUUAAGUGGGAAACGAUGUGGGAAGGCAUAGACAGCCAGGAUGUUGGCUUAGAAGCAGCCAUCAUUUAAAGAAAGCGUAAUAGCUCACUGGUCGAGUCGGCCUGCGCGGAAGAUGUAACGGGGCUAAACCAUGCACCGAAGCUGCGGCAGCGACACUUAGGUGUUGUUGGGUAGGGGAGCGUUCUGUAAGCCGUUGAAGGUGACCUGUGAGGGUUGCUGGAGGUAUCAGAAGUGCGAAUGCUGACAUAAGUAACGAUAAUGCGGGUGAAAAACCCGCACGCCGGAAGACCAAGGGUUCCUGUCCAACGUUAAUCGGGGCAGGGUGAGUCGACCCCUAAGGCGAGGCUGAAAAGCGUAGUCGAUGGGAAACAGGUUAAUAUUCCUGUACUUGGUGUUACUGCGAAGGGGGGACGGAGAAGGCUAGGCUAGCCGGGCGACGGUUGUCCCGGUUUAAGCAUGUAGGCGGAGUGACUUGGUAAAUCCGGUUGCUUAUCAACGCUGAGGUGUGAUGACGAGCCACUACGGUGGUGAAGUAGUUGAUGCCAAGCUUCCAGGAAAAGCCUCUAAGCAUCAGGUAACAUUAAAUCGUACCCCAAACCGACACAGGUGGUCAGGUAGAGAAUACUCAGGCGCUUGAGAGAACUCGGGUGAAGGAACUAGGCAAAAUGGUGCCGUAACUUCGGGAGAAGGCACGCUGGCAUUAGGUAAAGAGACUUGCUCUCGGCGCCGAAGCCAGUCGCAGAUACCAGCUGGCUGCAACUGUUUAAUAAAAACACAGCACUGUGCAAACACGAAAGUGGACGUAUACGGUGUGACGCCUGCCCGGUGCUGGAAGGUUAAUUGAUGGGGUCAGCCGCAAGGCGAAGCUCUUGAUCGAAGCCCCAGUAAACGGCGGCCGUAACUAUAACGGUCCUAAGGUAGCGAAAUUCCUUGUCGGGUAAGUUCCGACCUGCACGAAUGGCGUAAUGAUGGCCAGGCUGUCUCCACCCGAGACUCAGUGAAAUUGAACUCGCUGUGAAGAUGCAGUGUACCCGCGGCAAGACGGAAAGACCCCGUGAACCUUUACUAUAGCUUGACACUGAACAUUGAGCCUUGAUGUGUAGGAUAGGUGGGAGGCAUUGAAGUGUGGACGCCAGUCUGCAUGGAGCCAACCUUGAAAUACCACCCUUUAAUGUUUGAUGUUCUAACUCGGCCCCAUAAUCUGGGGUGAGGACAGUGUCUGGUGGGUAGUUUGACUGGGGCGGUCUCCUCCCAAAGAGUAACGGAGGAGCACGAAGGUUAGCUAAUCACGGUCGGACAUCGUGAGGUUAGUGCAAAGGCAUAAGCUAGCUUGACUGCGAGAGUGACGGCUCGAGCAGGUACGAAAGUAGGUCUUAGUGAUCCGGUGGUUCUGAAUGGAAGGGCCAUCGCUCAACGGAUAAAAGGUACUCCGGGGAUAACAGGCUGAUACCGCCCAAGAGUUCAUAUCGACGGCGGUGUUUGGCACCUCGAUGUCGGCUCAUCACAUCCUGGGGCUGAAGUAGGUCCCAAGGGUAUGGCUGUUCGCCAUUUAAAGUGGUACGCGAGCUGGGUUUAGAACGUCGUGAGACAGUUCGGUCCCUAUCUGCCGUGGGCGUUGGAAGAUUGAGAGGGGCUGCUCCUAGUACGAGAGGACCGGAGUGGACGAAUCACUGGUGUUCGGGUUGUCAUGCCAAUGGCAUUGCCCGGUAGCUAAAUUCGGAAGAGAUAACCGCUGAAAGCAUCUAAGCGGGAAACUUGCCUCGAGAUGAGUCUUCCCUGGGGCUUUAAGCCCCCUGAAGGAACGUUAAAGACUAUGACGUUGAUAGGCUGGGUGUGUAAGUGCAGCGAUGCAUUGAGCUAACCAGUACUAAUGAUCCGUGAGGCUUAACCUU